Molecule: ribosomal RNA, 490 nt
Filed under: uncultured bacterium
Lineage: Bacteria
Description: partial 16S ribosomal RNA
Rfam family: Bacterial small subunit ribosomal RNA
Source: RNAcentral
AUUGAACGCUGGCGGCAGGCCUAACACAUGCAAGUCGAACGGUAACAGGAAGCAGCUUGCUGCUUCGCUGACGAGUGGCGGACGGGUGAGUAAUGUCUGGGAAGCUGCCUGAUGGAGUGGGAUAACUACUGGAAACGGUAGCUAAUACCGCAUAAUGUCGCAAGACCAAAGAGGGGGACCUUCGGGCCUCUUGCCAUCGGAUGUGCCCAGAUGGGAUUAGCUUGUUGGUGGGGUAACGGCUCACCAAGGCGACGAUCCCUAGCUGGUCUGAGAGGAUGACCAGCCACACUGGAACUGAGACACAGUCCAGACUCCUACGGGAGGCAGCAGUGGGGAAUAUUGCACAAUGGGCGCAAGCCUGAUGCAGCCAUGCCGCGUGUAUGAAGAAGGCCUUCGGGUUGUAAAGUACUUUCAGCGGGGAGGAAGGGAGUAAAGUUAAUACCUUUGCUCAUUGACGUUACCCGCAGAAGAAGCACCGGCUAACUCCGUG